Molecule: small nucleolar RNA, 133 nt
Organism: Jaculus jaculus (lesser Egyptian jerboa)
Lineage: Eukaryota; Metazoa; Chordata; Mammalia; Rodentia; Dipodidae
Source: Ensembl
AUGCCAACCAAUUGAUCUGCUUAUCUGAAUGUUUCUGCAGAAAUUUAGAGAAAACUGACAACACUGAUGCCAUUUUUUGAGCCUGGGGUCAUUUGAGCUGGGGUCAUUGGGGUCCCUAAAAAUGGCUCCAAUA